CGAGUCACAGCAUUCCAGCCUGGGCUACAAAGCAAGACUGCGUGUCAGAAAAAGAAAAGAAAAAUGGAUUCAAAGAUUUAUCACUGUUAAGUUCCACCAGCAAAUUAUUAAAUGUGGUUCCAAAGGGAUAUUUAAAAAGGGAAAUUAAAAUUGUUUCCAAGAAAGCCCUAUUCACAGCAGAAACGUAGACACUGUACCUGACCUCACCACACAAAGUUCCCUCAUGUGUUGGGAGGGACCAAGGGGCUCUCUGGUCCUGCACCUGCGUUAAUUAUGGCCGGGAGGUCCGCAGUAGGACCCUAAGGGCUAGGAACCAGCCUGGGUCAGGGGCAGAGAAGUGGUGGAUGUGGCUCCCAAAGUGGCUUAGGGGUUCCCUUCCCUGUGGCUGUUUCCUGACUGGAUGCAGCAGGGUCAGGCCUUUCAGUGUGACGUUUUCUACUCUUUAUUAGAGUGGCAGGAGCGUCCCUGUGCGAGGCCUGACCCAGGUGUGGGCCUUGCAGCCAGCUCGGGGUCCAAGGGGCACUCCUGCGGUGCUGCAAAGGAGGAUUUGUGACAACCCAGAGGAUGGAGGAAACGGCGGCUUUGAAAAGGCAAGUGCCAAGUUAUCAGGGAUCGCUUAUAUCCAUUUCUGGCAGUGAACUGACAAUUUCAGACACUCAGGAGGGAGCUUCCCGCGUGGGAUCACAAAAAGUCCGAGAAGUGUCAGACAUCUGGCCAUUAACCCCAUUCCUACGCAGGGACUACACUGCCGCUUGUCCGAAGGGGCGUGUCAGGGGCGGAGCGAGGAUGAGGGGCGGUGCCAAUAAAAGAGGCGGGGGAGAAGGGGCGGUGCUGAGGGGAGAGGCCGGGCCAAGGGAAGAAGCGUGCGAGAAAGGGUGGGGCGAGUCCAGCUACAGGAAGAGUAGCGUUACUAUGGCAACCCUGACAGGUUUGUGAGCAGCCCCCGGUCCCCUGCCGCUCCGUGAGAAAUCAAACUUCAGGCACUGACGAAGCAUGAAGCCAGCAUCUUAGGAAGAGGUAGUGACAUAAUUACAAGGGCGACCGGAUUACAAUCACAGCCAGCAUGAACAUGGGGCGGCGCACAGUCCUGAAGAGGAAAGCCGGGCUGUGUUGACCUCGCUGUGCAUGCUGGGAGUUGUAGUCUCUUCACUGCUCCCGCCCGUUGUUUCAGGCACUUCGGGACUACAAUCCCAGCAUGACCCGGGCUCGGGGACGGGGCGCAGUUCUCGUGGGAGGAGCGGGGCGGUGAGAGCCUGGCUAGGCAGGCUGGAAACAGUAGCUCUUAACGGUCCCCCGCCCGUUGGUGGCAAGGCGGCUGGACUGGAAUCCCAGCAGGCGACAUGCGAGGAGGCGGGCAGCCCAGGAGGGUUGGACACGGCAAUGUGGACCUCGCCGCUUCCACAACGAUGCUGGCUACUGAUCGCGUGCACUUCCUUGCCAAAGAAAAGAAAUUAAUGUUAUGACUGGAUGAAGACAAUUGUGAAGAAACUGCACUUUGAGGUUGUCUAUCUCUGUAUUCUGAUGGAAAAGCGUGGAGUUUAGAAGCACUGCUCACUCCUUCAGUUUCUAACAAGUUUGAGACUAUGGUUAGGUGGUGAGGAAGGCAGGCUCAGCACCCAAGCCUUGGGGAGACGCAGAAAGGGCCCAUCCCAGGCACUCAGGUGGAGAAAUUCACUGGUAUAGGUUUCCCUCAAAACACUGCUUUCACCAGUUUCCGUAAGUUUUACGUUUUGGUUACAUUGUCAUUUAUGUUAAAACACUUUCUGAUAAGUAUUUGUGGUUUUCUUUUGAUCCAUAAAUUAUUUGGGAUUUUGCCAUUUAAUGUCCACAUACUUAAGAGUCUCCUAAAUUUCUUGCUUUCAUUGAUCUCUGAUUCUAUUAUGAUUAGAAAUCACCCAUUGUAUUAUCUCAAUCUCUAUUUUUACUGAUGUUUUAUGGCCCAGCAGGUGGUCUGUCCUAGAGAACGUUCCAUGUGGAUUUGAGAAGAAUAUAUAUUCUCAUGUUGGAUGCAGUGCUGUGCAUAUGUUUGUUAGGUUUAGUUGUUUUAUGUUGUUGUUCAUGUUUUCUAUUUUUUAUCUUCUGUCUACUUGUUCUAUCCAUUAAUAUAAGUGAAGCAUUAAAGUCUCCAACUAUUACUGUUGAAUUA
Molecule: long non-coding RNA, 2146 nt
Filed under: Homo sapiens (human)
Lineage: Eukaryota; Metazoa; Chordata; Mammalia; Primates; Hominidae
Description: HSALNT0341140
Source: RNAcentral